GUCUCCGCGGCACCGAUCCCGGAGCAGGUCCUGCUCCUGGAGAAGGUCGUACAUUAAAGAGCUACGCGACGCGACCUUGGCCCAAGGUGCUGGGGAUCCAGGCCACAGCUUUGUACAUAUUCUCGGCGGACACAACAUCUUUGUUGGUAUGGGG
Molecule: non-coding RNA, 154 nt
Organism: Urocitellus parryii (Arctic ground squirrel)
Lineage: Eukaryota; Metazoa; Chordata; Mammalia; Rodentia; Sciuridae
Source: RefSeq, a predicted model, not a curated record